CCUACGGGUGGCAGCAGUCGAGAAUCAUUCACAAUGGGGGAAACCCUGAUGGUGCGACGCCGCGUGGGGGAAUGAAGGUCUUCGGAUUGUAAACCCCUGUCAUGUGGGAGCAAAUUAAAAAGAUAGUACCACAAGAGGAAGAGACGUCUAACUCUGUGCCAGCAGCCGCGGUAAUACAGAGGUCUCAAGCGUUGUUCGGAAUAACUGGGCGUAAAGCGUGCGUAGGCUGUUUCGUAAGUCGUGUGUGAAGGGCGCGGGCGCAACGCGCGGACGGAACAUGAUACUGCGAGACUAGAGUGAUGGAGGGGGAACCGGAAUUCUCGGUGUAGCAGUGAAAUGCGUAGAUAUCGAGAGGAACACUCGUGGCGAAGGCGGGUUCCUGGACAUUAACUGACGCUGAGGCACGAAGGCCAGGGGAGCGAAAGGGAUUAGAUACCCUUGUAGUC
RNAcentral lists this ribosomal RNA (446 nucleotides) under uncultured bacterium. Its description in RNAcentral is "partial 16S ribosomal RNA". It matches the Rfam family "Bacterial small subunit ribosomal RNA", at positions 338 to 795 of the family's 1533-position model. The record is from RNAcentral.